RNAcentral lists this small RNA (541 nucleotides) under Pongo abelii (Sumatran orangutan). RNAcentral describes it as "retained intron". Lineage: Eukaryota; Metazoa; Chordata; Mammalia; Primates; Hominidae. The record is from RNAcentral.
CCCCUCCAGCCCAGCUUGAGCUCCAGCUCCAGCGCCGGCGCUUCAGCUGCGACCGCGAGCCCUCUCAAGAAAGGCCUACCCUCUGAAGAGGUCCAAGCAACGGAAGUACUACUACGAAGCUGCCUUUCUGGCCAUCCUUGAGAAAAACAGACAGAUGGCCAAGGAGAGGGGCCUAAUAAGCCCCAGUGAUUUUGCCCAGCUGCAAAAAUACAUGGAAUACUCCACCAAAAAGGUCAGUGAUGUCCUAAAGCUCUUCGAGGAUGGCGAGAUGGCUAAAUAUGUCCAAGGAGAUGCCAUUGGGUACGAGGGAUUCCAGCAAUUCCUGAAAAUCUAUCUGGAAGUGGAUAAUGUCCCCAGACACCUAAGCCUGGCACUGUUUCAAUCCUUUGAGACUGGUCACUGCUUAAAUGAGACAAAUGUGACAAAAGAUGUGGUGUGUCUCAGUGAUGUUUCCUGCUACUUUUCCCUUCUGGAGGGUGGUCGGCCAGAAGACAAGUUAGAAUGUGAGUUGCCCUUCUGAAGUGAGGUGGCAGGGCAGUGA